RNAcentral lists this ribosomal RNA (429 nucleotides) under Pseudomonadota bacterium. Its description in RNAcentral is "Proteobacteria bacterium partial 16S ribosomal RNA". It matches the Rfam family "Bacterial small subunit ribosomal RNA", at positions 355 to 776 of the family's 1533-position model. Lineage: Bacteria; Pseudomonadati; Pseudomonadota. The record is from RNAcentral.
UGGGGAAUAUUGGACAAUGGGCGAAAGCCUGAUCCAGCCAUGCCGCGUGUGUGAAGAAGGUCUUCGGAUUGUAAAGCACUUUAAGUUGGGAGGAAGGGCAGUAAGCGAAUACCUUGCUGUUUUGACGUUACCGACAGAAUAAGCACCGGCUAACUCUGUGCCAGCAGCCGCGGUAAUACAGAGGGUGCAAGCGUUAAUCGGAAUUACUGGGCGUAAAGCGCGCGUAGGUGGUUCGUUAAGUUGAAUGUGAAAGCCCCGGGCUCAACCUGGGAGCUGCAUCCAAAACAGGCGAGCUAGAGUAGGGCAGAGGGUGGUGGAAUUUCCUGUGUAGCGGUGGAAAGCGUAGAUAUAGGAAGGAACACCAGUGGCGAAGGCGACCACCUGGGCUCAUACUGACACUGAGGUGCGAAAGCGUGGGGAGCAAACAGG